UACGGAGGGUGCGAGCGUUAUUCGGAAUUACUGGGCGUAAAGCGCGAGCAGGCGGCUUUUCAAGUCUGAUGUGAAAGCCCCGGGCUUAACCUGGGAAGAGCAUUGGAAACUGAGAGGCUUGAGUACUGGAGAGGAAGGGGGAAUUCCCGGUGUAGAGGUGAAAUUCGUAGAGAUCGGGAGGAAUACCAGUGGCGAAGGCGCCCUUCUGGACAGUAACUGACGCUGAGACGCGAAAGCGUGGGGAG
This 245-nucleotide ribosomal RNA is filed under the name uncultured bacterium. RNAcentral's name for it is "partial 16S ribosomal RNA". It matches the Rfam family "Bacterial small subunit ribosomal RNA", at positions 524 to 768 of the family's 1533-position model. The record is from RNAcentral.